This 492-nucleotide ribosomal RNA is filed under the name uncultured bacterium. RNAcentral describes it as "partial 16S ribosomal RNA". It matches the Rfam family "Bacterial small subunit ribosomal RNA", at positions 29 to 507 of the family's 1533-position model. The record is from RNAcentral.
AGUGAACGCUGGCGGUAGGCUUAACACAUGCAAGUCGAACGGCAGCACAGUAAGUGCUUGCUCUUACGGGUGGCGAGUGGCGGACGGGUGAGGAAUACAUCGGAAUCUACUUUUUCGUGGGGGAUAAUGUAGGGAAACUUACGCUAAUACCGCAUAUGAUCUACGGGUGAAAGCAGGGGAUCUUCGGACCUUGCGCGAUUGAAUGAGCCGAUGUCGGAUUAGCUAGUUGGCGGGGUAAAGGCCCAGCAAGGCGACGAUACGUAGCUGGUCUGAGAGGAUGAUCGGCCACACUGGAACUUGAACACGGUCCAGACUCCUACGGGAGGCAGCAGAGGGGAAUAUUAGACAAUAGGCGCAAGCCUGAUCCAGCCAUACCGCGUGGGUGAAGAAGACCUUCGGGUUGUAAAGCCCUUUUGUUGGGAGAGAAAAGCAGCAGGUUAAUACCCCGCUGUUCUGACGGUACCCAAAAAAUAAGCACCGGCUAACUUCGUG